This is a long non-coding RNA of Vidua macroura (Pin-tailed whydah), 947 nucleotides long. RefSeq lists it as uncharacterized. The record is from RefSeq and is a predicted model, not a curated record. The transcript has 2 exons. NCBI's taxonomy places the organism in Eukaryota, Metazoa, Chordata, Aves, Passeriformes, Viduidae.
GAGGACCCCGCUCAGGGAUGACUCGGUGUGGUUGGACCUCUGACCAGGCAGGGCUGGAUGUCACAGCCCUAAACUGUCCCAGCCACCAGGGCACCUCACCAUCCCCAAGAGCAGUCGAGGCUGGAAAAGCCCUCCCAGACCAUCGAGUCCAACCAUCCCCAGCACUGACCCACGUCCCCAAGUGCCACAUCCCCAGGGCCGUUAAACCCCUCCAGGGAUGGGGCUCCACCACUGCCCUGGCACAGGACAACCCCUUUGGUGAAGAAAUGUCCCAGAUUUCCCAACCUGAACCUCCCCUGGCACAACUUGAGGCCGGUUCCUUUGUCCUGAGCACAGCAAGCGUGUCCCAUGUCACUGGGGAGGUGCCUGUGGAGAGGAGGAACAACAAAUGUGCACAGUGCAAAUGCAUCCAGCAGAUCCCUGCCGGGGAAUAAGAUACUUCCUCAUGUUAAAGUUUCAGAGCUGGAUUAUUUCACAUUCCAACAAUGCUGUGUUGUCAGCUCUGGAACUCCCCUGUCAGCAGCAGAAGAGGCACCACCUUCCACGGGCUGGAUGAGUGAAAACUGGGGAAGCAGCAGCGUUGCAGCCUCUCCACGCGGCAAAUCCCAACCCGUGCUCCGAGGAAUUCCAUUUGUGACCCCUCCCAAGGAGCCAGAAUUCACCCCCCUGAGCCCACCUCGGCCACAGCCCCCGAUUUUCCCCACGCAGGACCAGUGCAGGGAGCUCACCCCGGGAUUGUGGGGAAGGGUGAGGGGCUCCAGGGCAUCCAUCCCCGUCCCCAGCCCAUCCCAGCCGGGAUCAAUGCGGGAUCGUUAGGGAGGAGGGACAGGCUGGAGGUGACCAGAGACACAGGCAAGGAUAACAAACCCCGGGCUGGCGUGGGUGUGAUGGAGCAGGGAAUUUAAGGAGAGCUUAAAAAAAAUAAAAAUAAAGCCACCUCUGCAGCA